Molecule: unclassified non-coding RNA, 1110 nt
Filed under: Hevea brasiliensis (rubber tree)
Lineage: Eukaryota; Viridiplantae; Streptophyta; Magnoliopsida; Malpighiales; Euphorbiaceae
Source: RNAcentral
UUCUUGAAACAACAGAAGCUCAUUUGUUUUAUUUAUACGCACAACACAACACUAUCUGGAGGUCACAAAUGUCUGUUCAAAAUUACUGUUCCCUCUGUUGCUAAAUCUGUUCCAUUGUAAUUAAUUAUUCUUUUUCAAAUUCCAUCUUUGACUCUAAUGAUUGCAUUUUGGAUCCUUUAGAAGAGGGAAAACUCCGAAAACAUAUGGAUAUUCUAUGGAAAUUGUUUGCAUGUGUUUUUGAUAUCAUAUUCUGCUUUCUAGAGUUUCAAAUGACGCCUUCUAAUUUUCCCGGUGGGCUGAUACUUUUUUUUUACUAGCUUGCUUAGUGUUUAUGUGGCUUAAGUUUUGAUGUGUUGUCAUAUUACAUUUUUUUUAGGAAAAUUAAUUUUUCAUGCUCAAAACUCGAUUGCAUUCUCAUUAAUUUAUGUUGCUACCAUUGGGCAAGUAGCCUAGUAGUUGAGUGUCUACUUUGUAGUGCUAUAAUUCAUGCUUAUGGAAUAUUUAAUUGUUGGAUUUUCAUUUUGGUUCCAAACUACUAUAUGAUGAAGCCCGCAAACCCCCAAAAGGAUCACCAGCAGAUCUGUGAAGUUCCAAAGCAUCAUCGUAGAAAAAACCCACAGCUACCGCCCGUGCAUAGGCUCAAGUGGGGGAAAUUAAAAGGCUGAGGCAAUGAAAGUUUCCCUUUGAACGAACUCAGGCUUGCUAACACUAGUUGGACUGGAUCAAAGAAUACUUUUAGAGAGCUUGCUGUUCAACUGGCAUUUGGGUGUUAUAUAUAAUGGUUCACCUGCCAUGACUGCUUGCCCCAACCCACAUCAGUACAUAAACUGAGAUGUCCUGAUUUGCCUCAACAUUCAGGAGCAUCACAUCUUGGAGUUUCUGAUAAAUCAAUUAUUGUCAAGAAUCCUAUGUGUCUAAUGCCUAGUAAAGCUGGUUAAUUGAAGCAAUAGAUUUUCAAUUUUUGUAGUUCCUUUAUUACAGUAGUUGGAUUUUUUUUUCCAUUGAUAAUUUCAUGUACACAUUCAUAUGUUGACAGUAAUUACAGAAAUUUCUUACUGCGCUGUUUGCCGAUUAUGCAAUACAAAUGGGAGUCUCCCAAACUUAGUUUGC